Molecule: ribosomal RNA, 460 nt
Filed under: uncultured bacterium
Lineage: Bacteria
Description: partial 16S ribosomal RNA
Rfam family: Bacterial small subunit ribosomal RNA
Source: RNAcentral
CCUACGGGAGGCAGCAGUGAGGAAUAUUGGUCAAUGGCCGUAAGGCUGAACCAGCCAAGUCGCGUGAAGGAAGAAGGAUCUAUGGUUUGUAAACUUCUUUUAUAGGGGAAUAAAGGUAUCCACGUGUGGAUAUUUGCAUGUACCCUAUGAAUAAGCAUCGGCUAACUCCGUGCCAGCAGCCGCGGUAAUACGGAGGAUGCGAGCGUUAUCCGGAUUUAUUGGGUUUAAAGGGUGCGGAGGUUGUUUUUUAAGUCAGCGGUGAAAGUUUGUGGCUCAACCAUAAAAUUGCCGUUGAAACUGGAAGUCUUGAGUGUGUUUGAGGUAGGCGGAAUGCGUGGUGUAGCGGUGAAAUGCAUAGAUAUCACGCAGAACUCCGAUUGCGAAGGCAGCUUACUAAGCCAUAACUGACACUGAAGCACGAAAGCGUGGGGAUCAAACAGGAUUAGAUACCCUAGUAGUC